Ictalurus punctatus (channel catfish) is the source of this 2157-nucleotide long non-coding RNA. Lineage: Eukaryota; Metazoa; Chordata; Actinopteri; Siluriformes; Ictaluridae. The record is from Ensembl.
CCCAGUGCAUGCUGGGAAAUAAAACAAAAUAAUAAAAGAAAGAACGCAAACAAAAACACAAAAGUGCAUGAAUUAUGUUCAUUAAUCUUUCACUCAUCUUUUACUAAAUGAUUUAUUUAUUUACAGUAACAUGAAUAUAAUCAGCAGGUCACAUGACCUAAAGAGAAAAUCAGUGUUUCAUGCUUUGAACAUCAGAUUUAAUAUCAGAUUUAAUAUCAGAUUGUCCAGCAAUAAUCAUGCACAUAGUCUUACUUCAAUACACACAUUAAUCUAACUGUACACACUUCCUCCGUGUGUGUGUGUGUGUGUGUGUGUGUGUGUGUGUGUGUGUGUGUGUGUGUGUGUGUGUGUGUAUAUGUGUGUCAUUUUUAAUAACUUUAAAAAAAAAUCAGCAGGUGACCUUUGGAUAUAACAGAGCAGAUAUUUAUGAGAGAAACUGUUAAAGCAAUGAUAAAGUCAUGUGUAAAUUAAAUAAAAUAUCUGAAUUAAAUCAAACAUCAGACCAGAACAGCAGAAUAACCACAGCACAGGGGAUUCAUUCACACUAUACAAACGACUCCUUAUGAAAUGAAUCAGAAGAAUCAGAACACAUUUACAAGUUAUUUUACACACUAAAUACCUUUUUUUUCUGAAUACCUUUUUUUUGUUAGUUGUAGUAAAUAACUAAAUAAUCAAUCAUUAAAGCAUAAUAAACAGAAAUGUUGUUCGUUAUAUGGGUAAUUUAGGAAGAUUUAAUAAAAUGAGUUGCAUUCGCAAGUCAAAUAAAUAAAAACAUAAUUUAUUUUUUGAAAUGAAUUUACUUACAAUAGAGAAUCAAGUGAAUUAAAACUUCUACAGUUUGAUUCACUUAGAGUUAGCCAAAAAGGAGUCAAAUUACUUAAGUGAGUUUGAAUUGGAAUCAAACGAAUCAAAAAAUUAGUAGCUGGCAAGAACUUAAUCCAAACAAUUAAUUAACAGAAUCAGUGGUUCAAAAGAAUCAGAUGAAUAAAAAUCUCAAUGAUUUGUUUAAACGGCAAUUUUAAAGAACUGAAUCAUUAAAGUGACACAGAGUUGAGUCAAAUCUUUUAAAUGGCAUUAGUGAGUCUUCUGAACAUCGCUAUAUCAUUUGGUUCGUUAGUUAUUACACCAUGCUGCGGGUUUCUGCUCUAACUGAAGAAAUCUGAAGAACUUUCUGAAUAUUUAUUUUACAUUUUAUUUUUAAGUAUGUGUAAAACAGCCGGCAAAUAAAGUCAGCUCAUCUGAGUAAUGGAGUCAGUGAUGUUCCUGUAAGGCACUUGCAUCAGAAAUGACAAAUAUAACACACACAAAUGACUGAGAGCUUCCUUUAAAGAAGAGUUUCUGAAACCUGCAGCUCAUCUUUUUUAUAUUUACAUACAGUAAUUAAUUAAAGAACACAUUUCUAAAAAAAAAACAGUUAGUGACUCGAGCAAGUGUGGCAAGCCAUAAAAAAUAAUAAUGUGAACAAAUUAUGACUAAGUCUGAAAACUUAAGCACUGGUUUAACAAAGAAAAAAACAUCAGGAACGUCACACAGCAGCCAUUUAUUUCCUAAAACAUCUGCAGCUGUUUCCCAAACUCUUAAUAAGUAACAAUAUUCCCAUGUUUGUUGCCCACUAGAGGGCAUCUGAAGUGUUGAAAUGAUCUGAAUUGUUCUAGAUAAGGCUAUAGAAGAAUCUCAAGUGCUAUAGUAAAAGCUCAUGUUCCUAGCAUGUUAACAUGUGUUUACUGGACAUUAGCAGUGUUUAGAUUAAGCUAAUAUAAAAGAAUGCCACUCAGCAGCAUAGAUAUACAUCUUAGUGUGUGUGUGUGUGUGUGUGUGUGUGUGUGUGUGUGUGUGUGUGUGUGUGUGUGUGUGUUGUCCUUGAACAUACAGCAUUUAUUGCUAACAGUUGAAUGCAAAAGCAGCCCCAAGCUAAUGUUAGAUCUGAUCACAGUUUAUGAUAUAUUAUCAGUUUUGUGUCUGAGAGACAUUUCUUUGUGGACUUUAACAGAAUUAUAGGAUUAUCAUUUUCCAGAAGAUCACAUGCUUUUUCACAUUUGUCCAAACUAAAGAGUGGGGUUUGUCUGUCGACAAGUGGGUGUGUCCAUCUCGCUCAUAUAUAAAUACAAAGACACGCCCCUAUAAAUGUUCCUAAUCAGCACACAAAAGAGAUUUCAU